Non-coding RNA from Hydra vulgaris (swiftwater hydra), 314 nucleotides. NCBI's taxonomy places the organism in Eukaryota, Metazoa, Cnidaria, Hydrozoa, Anthoathecata, Hydridae. The record is from RefSeq and is a predicted model, not a curated record.
AUAUACAUUUGUAUAAACUUACUUAUGUAAGAAUACUAACAUUUAAUGCUAGGCGAGGUGGAGAACCUGGAAAGUUAACAUUAGCAGAUUGGGCUAUGGUAGAAAAAGGCAGGUGGAAACGCCUAACUGACAUAGAUGCUUUAGAUGAUCCAAUAGAAAAAAAGCUUGCAGAACGAUUUAAACUAUGUUACAUUGAAGGCAAAAAAAACGGAGAGGUUCUUCUGUAAAAGCAUUAGUUCCGAUUAUUUUUACUGAGGAAGUUGUUGGUGCAAUCAGACUAUUAAUCAGCUCAAGGCAUUAUGCUAAUAUUUCUC